This 236-nucleotide ribosomal RNA is filed under the name uncultured bacterium. Its description in RNAcentral is "partial 16S ribosomal RNA". It matches the Rfam family "Bacterial small subunit ribosomal RNA", at positions 1256 to 1500 of the family's 1533-position model. The record is from RNAcentral.
AGCAAUGGGAUGCGAAUCUCGAAAGCCUGUCUCAGUUCGGAUUGGAGGCUGAAACCCGCCUCCAUGAAGUUGAAUUCGCUAGUAAUCGCGCAUCAGCCAUGGCGCGGUGAAUACGUUCCCGGGCCUUGUACACACCGCCCGUCAAGCCAUGGGAGCCGGGGGUGCCUGAAGUUCGUGACCGCAAGGAGCGACCUAGGGCAAAACUGGUGACUGGGGCUAAGUCGUAACAAGGUAGC